RNAcentral lists this ribosomal RNA (491 nucleotides) under uncultured bacterium. RNAcentral describes it as "partial 16S ribosomal RNA". It matches the Rfam family "Bacterial small subunit ribosomal RNA", at positions 29 to 507 of the family's 1533-position model. The record is from RNAcentral.
AGUGAACGCUGGCGGUAGGCCUAACACAUGCAAGUGGACCGCAGCACCGUAAGAGCUUUCCCCUACGGGUGGCCAGUUGCCGGCUGGUUAAGGAUACCUCGGAAUCCACUUUUUCGUGGGGGACAACGUAGGGAAACCUACGCUUAUACCCCAAAAGACCUACCGGUGAAAUCAGGGGAUUUUCGGACCUUUUGCGAAUGAAUGAGCCGAUGUCGGAUUAGCUAGUUGGCGGGGUAAAGGCCCACCAAGGCGACGAUCCGUAGCUGGUCUGAGAGGAUGAUCAGACACACUGGAACUGAGACACGGUCCAGACUCCUACGGGAGGCAGCAGUGGGGAAUAUUGGACAAUGGGCGCAAGCCUGAUCCAGCCAUACCGCGUGGGUGAAGAAGGCCUUCGGGUUGUAAAGCCCUUUUGUUGGGAAAGAAAAGCAGCAGGUUAAUACCCCGCUGUUCUGACGGUACCCAAAGAAUAAGCACCGGCUAACUUCGUG